UACGGGGGGUGCAAGCGUUGCUCGGAAUUAUUGGGCGUAAAGCGUACGCAGGCGGCUCUACAAGUCGAGUGUGAAAACCCGGGGCUCAACCCCGGAAUUGCAUUCGAAACUGCCGGGCUUGAGUGCGGGAGAGGGAAGCGGAAUUCCUGGUGUAGAGGUGAAAUUCGUAGAUAUCAGGAGGAACACCGGUGGCGAAAGCGGCUUCCUGGCCCGAUACUGACGCUCAUGUAAGAAAGCGUGGGGAGCAAACAGG
Molecule: ribosomal RNA, 253 nt
Filed under: uncultured bacterium
Lineage: Bacteria
Description: partial 16S ribosomal RNA
Rfam family: Bacterial small subunit ribosomal RNA
Source: RNAcentral